GACGAACGCUGGCGGCGUGCUUAACACAUGCAAGUCGAGCGGAAAGGCCCUUCGGGGUACUCGAGCGGCGAACGGGUGAGUAACACGUGAGUAACCUGCCCCAGACUUUGGGAUAACCCUCGGAAACGGGGGCUAAUACCGGAUACGACACAGCUUCGCAUGGGGUCUGUGUGGAAAGUUUUUCGGGUUGGGAUGGGCUCGCGGCCUAUCAGCUUGUUGGUGGGGUGAUGGCCUACCAAGGCGACGACGGGUAGCCGGCCUGAGAGGGCGACCGGCCACACUGGGACUGAGACACGGGCCAGACUCCUACGGGAGGCAGCAGUGGGGAAUAUUGCACAAUGGGCGGAAGCCUGAUGCAGCGACGCCGCGUGAGGGAUGACGGCCUUCGGGUUGUAAACCUCUUUCAGCAGGGACGAAGCGUAAGUGACGGUACCUGCAGAAGAAGCGCCGGCCAACUACGUG
This 462-nucleotide ribosomal RNA is filed under the name uncultured bacterium. Its description in RNAcentral is "partial 16S ribosomal RNA". It matches the Rfam family "Bacterial small subunit ribosomal RNA", at positions 28 to 507 of the family's 1533-position model. The record is from RNAcentral.